RNAcentral lists this ribosomal RNA (772 nucleotides) under Hypogymnia schizidiata. RNAcentral's name for it is "partial large subunit ribosomal RNA". It matches the Rfam family "Eukaryotic large subunit ribosomal RNA", at positions 95 to 884 of the family's 3401-position model. Lineage: Eukaryota; Fungi; Ascomycota; Lecanoromycetes; Lecanorales; Parmeliaceae. The record is from RNAcentral.
GAAGCGGCAACAGCUCAAAUUUGAAAUCUGGCCCUUUCGGGGUCCGAGUUGUAAUUUGUAGAGAGUGUUUCGGGUGAGAUCACGGUCUAAGUCCAUUGGAACAUGGCGUCAUAGAGGGUGAGAAUCCCGUAUGUGACUGUGGAUCGAGCCCAUGUGAAGCCUCUUCGACGAGUCGAGUUGUUUGGGAAUGCAGCUCAAAAUGGGUGGUAAAUUUCAUCUAAAGCUAAAUACCGGCUGGAGACCGAUAGCGCACAAGUAGAGUGAUCGAAAGAUGAAAAGCACUUUGGAAAGAGAGUCAAACAGUACGUGAAAUUGUUGAAAGGGAAGCGCUUGCAACCAGACCUGUCCGUAGGUGAUCAGCCGCUGUUCUCAGUGGUGCACUCGCUCUGCGAUCAGGCCAGCAUCGGUUCGGGCGGUCGGAUAAAGGCCUUGGGAAUGUAGCUUCUUUCGGGGAGCCUUAUAGCCCUCGGUGCAAUGCGGCCAGCCGGGACCGAGGACCGCGCUUCGGCUAGGAUGCUGGCGUAAUGGUUGUAAGCGACCCGUCUUGAAACACGGACCAAGGAGUCUAACAUCUAUGCGAGUGUUUGGGUGUUAAACCCAUGCGCGGAAUGAAAGUGAACGGAGGUGAGAACCCCUAAGGGCGCAUCAUCGACCGAUCCAUAUGUCUUCGGAUGGAUUUGAGUAUGAGCAUAGCUGUUGGGACCCGAAAGAUGGUGAACUAUGCCUGAAUAGGGUGAAGCCAGAGGAAACUCUGGUGGAGGCUCGCAGCGGU